UGGCGAACGGGUGAGUAACACGUGGGUGAUCUGCCCUGCACUCUGGGAUAAGCCUGGGAAACUGGGUCUAAUACCGGAUAGGACCAUGCUUUAGUGUGUGUGGUGGAAAGUUUUUUCGGUGUAGGAUGAGCCCGCGGCCUAUCAGCUUGUUGGUGGGGUAAUGGCCUACCAAGGCGGCGACGGGUAGCCGGACUGAGAGGUUGGUCGGCCACAUUGGGACUGAGAUACGGCCCUG
Molecule: ribosomal RNA, 235 nt
Filed under: uncultured Actinomycetales bacterium
Lineage: Bacteria; Bacillati; Actinomycetota; Actinomycetes; Actinomycetales
Description: partial 16S ribosomal RNA
Rfam family: Bacterial small subunit ribosomal RNA
Source: RNAcentral